AUUGAACGCUGGCGGCAUGCCUUACACAUGCAAGCCGAACGGCAGCACGGGUGCUUGCACCUGGUGGCGAGUGGCGAACGGGUGAGUAAUACAUCGGAACAUGUCCUGUAGUGGGGGAUAGCCCGGCGAAAGCCGGAUUAAUACCGCAUACGAUCUACGGAUGAAAGCGGGGGACCUUCGGGCCUCGCGCUAUCGGGUUGGCCGAUGGCUGAUUAGCUAGUUGGUGGGGUAAAGGCCUACCAAGGCGACGAUCAGUAGCUGGUCUGAGAGGACGACCAGCCACACUGGGACUGAGACACGGCCCAGACUCCUACGGGAGGCAGCAGUGGGGAAUUUUGGACAAUGGGCGAAAGCCUGAUCCAGCAAUGCCGCGUGUGUGAAGAAGGCCUUCGGGUUGUAAAGCACUUUUGUCCGGAAAGAAAUCCUUGGCCCUAAUACAGUCGGGGGAUGACGGUACCGGAAGAAUAAGCACCGGCUAACUACGUG
Molecule: ribosomal RNA, 486 nt
Filed under: uncultured bacterium
Lineage: Bacteria
Description: partial 16S ribosomal RNA
Rfam family: Bacterial small subunit ribosomal RNA
Source: RNAcentral